RNAcentral lists this non-coding RNA (58 nucleotides) under Homo sapiens (human). Lineage: Eukaryota; Metazoa; Chordata; Mammalia; Primates; Hominidae. The record is from RNAcentral.
AGUGGUUCACGCCUGUAAUCCCAGCACUUUGGGAGGCCAAGGCGGGUGGAUCACUUGA